This 350-nucleotide ribosomal RNA is filed under the name Rhodobacter capsulatus. RNAcentral's name for it is "bacterial SSU rRNA". It matches the Rfam family "Bacterial small subunit ribosomal RNA", at positions 30 to 404 of the family's 1533-position model. Lineage: Bacteria; Pseudomonadati; Pseudomonadota; Alphaproteobacteria; Rhodobacterales. The record is from RNAcentral.
CGAACGCUGGCGGCAGGCCUAACACAUGCAAGUCGAGCGAGAUCUUCGGAUCUAGCGGCGGACGGGUGAGUAACGCGUGGGAACGUGCCCUUUGCUACGGAAUAGCCCCGGGAAACUGGGAGUAAUACCGUAUGUGCCCUACGGGGGAAAGAUUUAUCGGCAAAGGAUCGGCCCGCGUUGGAUUAGGUAGUUGGUGGGGUAACGGCCUACCAAGCCGACGAUCCAUAGCUGGUUUGAGAGGAUGAUCAGCCACACUGGGACUGAGACACGGCCCAGACUCCUACGGGAGGCAGCAGUGGGGAAUCUUAGACAAAUGGGGGAAAACCCCUGAUCUAAGCCCUGCCGCGUGA